This 72-nucleotide transfer RNA is filed under the name Trichobilharzia regenti. It matches the Rfam family "tRNA". From Rfam's summary of the family: Transfer RNA (tRNA) molecules are approximately 80 nucleotides in length. Their secondary structure includes four short double-helical elements and three loops (D, anti-codon, and T loops). Lineage: Eukaryota; Metazoa; Platyhelminthes; Trematoda; Strigeidida; Schistosomatidae. The record is from Rfam by way of RNAcentral.
GUCGCUAUGGUGUGGUGGUUAGGACAUGGUGUUGUGACCGAUCGAACCCAGGUUCGAAUCCUGGCAGCGACA